UGCCCGAAUCCUGACACAGGGAGGUAGUGACAAGAAAUAACGAUACAGGGCUACAUCUAGUCUUGUAAUUGGAAUGAGUAAAUUUACAUCUCUUAACGAUGAUCAAUUGGAGGGCAAGUCUGGUGCCAGCAGCCGCGGUAAUUCCAGCUCCAAUAGCGUAUAUUAAAGUUGUUGCAGUUAGAACGCUCGUAGUCGGAUUUCGGGGCGGUCCGACCGGUCUGCCGAUGGGUACGCACUGGUCGGAGCGUCCUUCCUGCCGGAGACCGUGCCUACUCUUAACUGAGCGGGGGCGGGAGACGGCACUUUUACUUUGAAAAAAUCAGAGUGUUUCAAGCAGGCAGCUCGCUCUUGCAUGGAUUAGCAUGGGAUAAUGAAAUAGGACUUUGGUGCUAUUUUGUUGGUUUCGAACACCGAAGUAAUGAUGAGAAGGGACAGUCAGGGGCACUCGUAUUCCGCCGAGAGAGGUGAAAUUCUCAGACCAGCGGAAGACGAACCACUGCGAAAGCAUUUGCCAGGGAUGUUUUCACUGAUCAAGAACGAAAGUUAGGGGAUCGAAGACGAUCAGAUACCGUCGUAGUCUUAACCAUAAACCAUGCCGACAGGGAUUGGAGGAUGUUCACUGAUUGACUCCUUCAGCACCUUACGGGAAACUAAAGUCUUUGGGUUCCGGGGGGAGUAUGGUCGCAAGGCUGAAACUUAAAGGAAUUGACGGAAGGGCACCACCAGGUGUGGAGCCUGCGGCUUAAUUUGACUCAACACGGGGAAACU
Molecule: ribosomal RNA, 768 nt
Filed under: uncultured marine Prymnesiales
Lineage: Eukaryota; Haptophyta; Prymnesiales
Description: SSU rRNA
Rfam family: Eukaryotic small subunit ribosomal RNA
Source: RNAcentral